RNAcentral lists this ribosomal RNA (458 nucleotides) under uncultured bacterium. Its description in RNAcentral is "bacterial LSU rRNA". It matches the Rfam family "Bacterial large subunit ribosomal RNA", at positions 1624 to 2094 of the family's 2925-position model. The record is from RNAcentral.
UAAGGGAGAGUUAGGUAACUGUACCACAACGGACACACGUGGACGAGAUGAGUAUUCUCAGGCGCUCGGGUGAUGAGUUGUUCAGGAACUAGGCAAAUUAACCCCGGUAACUUCGGGGAGAAGGGGUGCCACGCAAGUGGGCCGCAGUGAAUAGCGUCAGGCGACUGUUUAACAAAACACAGGUCUCUGCUAAGUCGAAAACGACGUAUAGGGGCUGACGCCUGCCCGGUGCCGGAAGGUUAAAGGGAGCGGUUAGCGCAAGCGAAGCUGUAAAACUGAAGCCCCGGUGAACGGCGGCCGUAACAAUAACGGUCCUAAGGUAGCGAAAUUCCUUGUCGGGUAAGUUCCGACCUGCACGAAUGGCGUAACGAUCUGACGACUGUCUUAACAACUCGCCCGGCGAAUUUGUGGUUCCGGUGAAGACGCCGGAUGCCCGCCACAAGACGGAAAGACCCCAU